ACUGUUUAUUUCCAACUAAGGAUGGGGGGAAAGUGAAAACAAUGGAAAUAAAAGGUCAAAGAAUCCCUCAGAAUGCAUGUGGUAUGUUAGUCAUGAUGGAGAUCUCAGAUGCUUUUGAAGAGGCUGAACUGAUGUGAGAAAGUCAACCAGUUGUUGCUUCUUUGAAGAAGGAGGAAGGGGCCACAAGCCAAGGAAUGUGGUGGCAUCUAGACACUGGAAAAAGCAAGAAAAUGAAUUCUCCACUAAAGCAUCCAGAAACACAGCUCUAAAGAUCCACGGUUUUAGUCCAGUAUGACCCAUGUUGGACUUCUAAACCAUAGAAUUGUAAGAUACUAAAUUUGUGCUGUUUUAAACCAUUAUGUUUGUGAUAAUUUGUUACAGUAGCCAUAGAAAGCUAAUACAAUUGAGA
This 409-nucleotide long non-coding RNA is filed under the name Pongo abelii (Sumatran orangutan). Its description in RNAcentral is "lincRNA". Lineage: Eukaryota; Metazoa; Chordata; Mammalia; Primates; Hominidae. The record is from RNAcentral.